UGGGAUGUAGCUCAAAGGUAGAGCUCCUGCCUAGCAAACACAAGGACUUGGGUCCAAUUCCCAGUAUUUAAA
RNAcentral lists this transfer RNA (72 nucleotides) under Ictidomys tridecemlineatus (thirteen-lined ground squirrel). RNAcentral describes it as "Spermophilus tridecemlineatus (thirteen-lined ground squirrel) tRNA". It matches the Rfam family "tRNA". From Rfam's summary of the family: Transfer RNA (tRNA) molecules are approximately 80 nucleotides in length. The record is from Rfam by way of RNAcentral. Lineage: Eukaryota; Metazoa; Chordata; Mammalia; Rodentia; Sciuridae.